AUGAAGAAAUUCUUUAAAGGGUGGGGCUUAAAUAACUUUGGCAAAUGUAGGAUUAAGAAGAACUUACUUAGAUUGGAGCUUCAGGAGUUGGAGUUGUUAGAAGAACAAUAUGAUCUGUGUGGGGAGGCGUAUACGAGGAAAUUAAAUAUCCUGGUGGAACUUAAUAGUAUAUACCUUGAAGAGGAAUCAUCCUGGCAUCAAAAAUCUACCGAGAGGUGGCUAUUGAAAGGUGAUAAUAACACCGAUUUCUUCCAUAAAGUGGCCAAUGGGAGACGCAGGAAAAAUAUGAUGCGCUCUCUUGAAUGUGGUUCUGUUACUAUUGAGGGGACUAAGAAUCUACUAGCCCAUGCUACUGACUUUUAUAAGGAAUUGUUUGGGCCUGCACCUGGUAAUAUGUGUAGUGUUGACGCAUCAUUGUGGUCUAGUGAGGAGAAUAUAUCCUUGAGUGAUAACGAUGAGUUAACCAAACCCUUUUCCCUUGAGGAGAUUAAAGCUGCUCUCUUUGCUAUGGAGCCUAAUCGUGCACCUGGCCCUGAUAGUGUACCGGCUGAAUUCUACCAGCACUGCUGGGAUGUUGUUUGCAUGGAUCUCCUUAGGCUUUUUGAGUGGUUUCAUGAGGGCAGACUAGAUGUGCAACGCUUGAAUUAUGGCAUUAUCACCCUUUUGCCUAAAACCUCGGAGGCCAAUAGAAUACAACAGUACAGACCUAUUUGCUUGUUGUGA
This 723-nucleotide ribosomal RNA is filed under the name Triticum aestivum (bread wheat). RNAcentral's name for it is "partial small subunit ribosomal RNA". Lineage: Eukaryota; Viridiplantae; Streptophyta; Magnoliopsida; Poales; Poaceae. The record is from RNAcentral.